This 501-nucleotide ribosomal RNA is filed under the name uncultured bacterium. RNAcentral describes it as "partial 16S ribosomal RNA". It matches the Rfam family "Bacterial small subunit ribosomal RNA", at positions 29 to 523 of the family's 1533-position model. The record is from RNAcentral.
AUUGAACGCUGGCGGCAUGCCUUACACAUGCAAGUCGAACGGCAGCACGGGUGCUUGCACCUGGUGGCGAGUGGCGAACGGGUGAGUAAUACAUCGGAACGUACCUUAUCGUGGGGGAUAACGCAGCGAAAGCUGUGCUAAUACCGCAUACGCCCUGAGGGGGAAAGCGGGGGAUCGCAAGGCCUCGCGCGAUUAGAGCGGCCGAUGCCUGAUUAGCUUGUUGGUGGGGUAAAAGCCCACCAAGGCGACGAUCAGUAGCUGGUCUGAGAGGACGAUCAGCCACACUGGGACUGAGAAACGGCCCAGACUCCUACGGGAGGCAGCAGUGGGGAAUUUUGGACAAUGGGGGCAACCCUGAUCCAGCAAUGCCGCGUGAGUGAAGAAGGCCUUCGGGUUGUAAAGCUCUUUUGUCAGGGAAGAAACGCCGGCUCUAACACAGUCCGGGAAUGACGGUACCUGAAGAACAAGCACCGGCUAACUACGUGCCAGCCGCCGCCGUAA